UUACCCACGACCCGUGUGGAAACGACGUCGUUUUCCUUCAUAGGUUUUAUUCCCAAAAUUGCCCAGAAACGACGUCGUUUUCUUUGUGUUUAAAAUCUCAAAAUCGAAUUGGGGUUUAGGGUUCAUAUUCACUUCUCAAAUUGAAGAAACUAUGAGCACCACGAGCUACUACUAAUCUGCUUCAAGUCCGACACAUCAUUUUUCUCCUCCUGGUGUUCCAUCGAAAUGCUGGUGUGGAGCGUCAAUCAUCACUUACACAUCAAAGACGAAGGAAAAUCCAAGCCGGAGAUUCUAUCGAUGUGCAAUUGCAUUGCAGAGAGAAAAUGAAGAUCACUUGUUCAAAUGGGUUGAUGAAGCUCUCUUAGACGAAAUUAGGAUGGUCGAGGAGAAUUGUAAGAGAGUUGAAGA
Arabidopsis thaliana (thale cress) is the source of this 408-nucleotide RNA transcript. RefSeq lists it as uncharacterized. Lineage: Eukaryota; Viridiplantae; Streptophyta; Magnoliopsida; Brassicales; Brassicaceae. The record is from RefSeq. The transcript has 2 exons.